UGACUACAGCAGAGUUAUGAAGUUCUUAUCCAUUGAUACUCCUAUGCUCCUGUGGAAACGCCAAGAUCUGCUAUUCUGAACCUGAAAUUCAGUUCUCCAUCGAACAGCCCUGGUUAUUUGACCUGCAGCUGGUCGGGUCUAUGGUUUUUAAGCUAGCAGUGUUUUUACACAACACAUUUGAAUGCCGAUGAUUAAUUUAACCUCCUAACUCAAGACAUUGCUGAGGUCAUCGCAAAAUAAGUGCUAAACUGGAGAUUUUGACAUU
This 265-nucleotide long non-coding RNA is filed under the name Gallus gallus (chicken). Its description in RNAcentral is "long non-coding RNA NONGGAT008475". The record is from RNAcentral. Lineage: Eukaryota; Metazoa; Chordata; Aves; Galliformes; Phasianidae.